This 77-nucleotide transfer RNA is filed under the name Sporomusaceae bacterium. RNAcentral describes it as "tRNA-Arg". It matches the Rfam family "tRNA". From Rfam's summary of the family: Transfer RNA (tRNA) molecules are approximately 80 nucleotides in length. Lineage: Bacteria; Bacillati; Bacillota; Negativicutes; Selenomonadales; Sporomusaceae. The record is from RNAcentral.
GAGUCCGUAGCUCAGCUGGAUAGAGCAUUUGACUACGAAUCAAAAGGCCGCAGGUUCGAAUCCUGCCGGGCUCGCCA